This 274-nucleotide ribosomal RNA is filed under the name uncultured bacterium. Its description in RNAcentral is "partial 16S ribosomal RNA". It matches the Rfam family "Bacterial small subunit ribosomal RNA", at positions 523 to 796 of the family's 1533-position model. The record is from RNAcentral.
AUACGGAGGGGGUUAGCGUUGUUCGGAAUUACUGGGCGUAAAGCGUACGUAGGCGGACUGGAAAGUUGGGGGUGAAAUCCCGGGGCUCAACCCCGGAACUGCCUCCAAAACUUCCAAUCUAGAGAUCGAGAGAGGUGAGUGGAAUUCCAAGUGUAGAGGUGAAAUUCGUAGAUAUUUGGAGGAACACCAGUGGCGAAGGCGGCUCACGGGCUCGAUACUGACGCUGAGGUACGAAAGCGUGGGGAGCAAACAGGAUUAGAAACCCCGGUAGUCC